UUUUUUUGCAACCUUGUGGUAGGUUGCUUAGAAGGGGCCUCAGGAGUGACCACUGGCUUUCUAAUCUUGAAGCGAGCACUGAGAACCACAUCAUCCUGAUCAUCCUCAUCACAAGGUCUCACAACAGGAGAGAUAGACUCCAACGGCUCAGCGUCAAAGUGAGGAGAUGGAGCAGGGUCAAAGCUGACCUGGGAAGAUGAUUCCUGACCUGUUUCCUCAGGGAGGGGAUCAGGUUCAUCAGUAGGGUUCCCAGUAACUACUUCAGGUGCAGGUGGUUCAAAGGGCACCAUUGUUCCUUUUUCUCCUAAGAGCGGAGUCCCUUCCCCCUGAGACUCAGGCAUGGUAGAAGGUCAUUCAUUCACCAGUCCCUCAGCAGCAAUGGCCAAUAUGUUUUCAGCNNNNNNNNNNNNNNNNNNNNNNNNNUGUUCUGAAACGGCAGUAGGUUUAUGGGAAUAUGCACCAUUGCAAAGGGAAGUGAAAAGAUUUGAAAAAAAAGACGUGAUAUACAAGGUCUGAAAAGGUGGAUUAUGUGGCAGUUAAUUUUGUUUCUUUUGAGAUACGCAUGAGAAAAACACAAGACUACCAACCUGUGGUACAAGAACUGGGUUCCUGACCGGUCUUUUUUAAGAUUUUCAACUCUCUUUUGUUGCUCAUGCAUUGUUCCUUGAGCUUCUCUAAUCAUCAUAUGUGUCUACCUGCAACGGUAUAGAAGUGAGUUAAGCUUGGCUAGAAAACACUUUAGCUAUAUUUACAUGAAUGUAAUUUUCAUAGCCAUAGGGAAGGGAAUCAGGUUCUCAAUUUGGCUUGAUUAACCCUAGUGCCAUCCUGUUUCUCUCAAAAUGUUCCCUGCUUAGUGCUUUGGUGAAGAUAUCUGCAAUUUGGUCUUCUAUACUAUAGAACUUCAUGAAAAUAAACCCCUUCUCCAUGUUGUCUCUGAGAAAAUGAUGUCUCAUAUCAAUGUGCUUGGUUCUCUUGUGUUGGACCGGGUUCUUUGCCAUGUUGAGUGUACUGGUGUUGUCACAUAACAGAGGUACACAGUCAGUGUAUACCCCAAAAUCCUCCAAUUAUUGUUUGAUCGACAAGAGCUGAGCACAGCAGGACGAUGCAACAACAUCUUCUACUUCAGCUGUUGAGAGAGCUACUGAAUUUUGCUUCCUUGUACCCCAUGAAAUCAGACAGGAUCCUAGGAAAUGAGCCAUUCCAGACGUGCUCAUCCUGUCCACAAGGUAACCUGCAUAGUCAGUGUCAGCAUAAUCAACAAGAUUAAAGUUGUCACCUGAAAGGUAAUACAGAAACAGAACCUGUGUUCCCUUAAGAUAUCUCAAAAUCCUUUUAGCAGCUUUUAGAUGAGAUUCCUUGGGAUUUUAUUGAAACGUUUCACAUAAACCCACAUUGAAUACAAUAUUUGGCCUGCUGGCAGUGAGGUAGAGGAGUGAUCCAAUAAUGCCUCGAUACAUUGUUUGAUUUACAAGAGAGCCAGAUUCAUCCAUGUUUAGCUUAGCGGCAGUGGCAAUGGGGGUGUCAAUCACCUUUGAUGUUUCCAUAUCAAACCUCUUCAAAAGCUCCUUGAUAUAUUUCUUCUGACUAAUACAAGUUCCCUUCGUGGACUACUUCACUUGAAGACCCAAGAAAAAGUUUAGCUCCCCCAUCAUGCUCAUCUCAAACUCACUUCCCAUGAGUUUUGCAAAUUCCUCACAGAGUGAGUCAGCUAUUGCCCUAAAGAUAAUAUCAUCAACAUAUACCUGAACAAUGAGCAGGUUCCUUCCUCGUUUCUUCAGAAAUAGAGUGUUGUCAAUUUUUCCUCUUGUAAAGCCAUUUUCUAAGAGAAACUUUGACAACCUUUCAUACCAAGCUCGAGGAGCCUGCUUCAAACCAUACAGUGCCUUGUCCAAUUUGAACACAUAUUCAGGAUGUUUAUGACAUUCAAAACCUGGAGGUUGCUUAACACAGACUUCUUCCAUUAGAAAACCAUUCAUAAAUGCACUUUUGACAUCCAUUUGGAACAAUGUGAAUUCCAUAUGUGAUGCAAAGGCAAUGAGAAUUCUGAUGGCUUUCAUACGAGCAACUGGAGCGAAAGUCUCAUCAUAUCUGCCUUUUCAUUUUCCAUGUCAGUGAUCUCUCCUGGAACCAGCAGUGGCUCACUGGCUUGAUCAUCCUUGUUGCUCUUCUCACCAGAUGGAAGUGUCUCGUUGAAGAUUACAUGAACAUUUUCUUCCACAUACUGAGUCCUUUUAUUGUAAACCUUGUAAGCUUUGUUUUGAGAGGAAUACCCCAGAAAAAUUCCUUCAUCACUUUUGGCGUCAAAUUUUCCAAGCUGAUCCUUCCUAUUGUCGAGAACAUAGCAUUUGCACCCAAACGUUCUUAGGUGAGUCAGCUUGGGCUUCCUUCUAUUGAGCAGUUCAUAAGGAGUUUGGUUCAGGAAGAAUCUGAUCAUGUACCUGUUCACCAAGUAGCAGGCUGUAUUUAUGGCUUCUGCCCACAAGUUUUUGGCUAUCCCACUAUCAAUAAGCAUUGUUCUAGCCAUAUCUUCAAGGGUUCUGUUCUUCCUUUCUAUAACUCCAUUUUGCUGUGGAGUUCUUGGAGCUGAGAAGUUGUGGGUGAUGCCAUUUUCACUGCAGAAUUCAUCAAACAUGGCAUUGUCAAAUUCUAUUCCAUGAUCGGAUCUGAUGCAAGCCACUUUUGAUUCCAUCUUCACUUGGAUUUUCUUGACAAAGGCUACAAACACUUCGAAGGUCUCAUCCUUGGUUCUGAGAAACAGGGUCCAAGUGAAUCUUGAGUAGUCAUCUACUAUCACAAAAAUAUAUCUUUUUCCUCCUCUGUUUGGCACUCUCAUAGGGCCACAUAGAUCCAUAUGAAAGAGUUCAAGUGGCUUUGAUGUGCUGACAUCCUUCUUUGGCUUGAAUGAGGAUUUCACAUGCUUUCCUCUAACACAUGCAUCACACACUAUGUGCUCCUUGAAUUUUGAAUUUGGCAAUCCACGAACCAGGUCCUUCUAUAUCAGCUUGUUCAGAAGAGAGAAGCUUGCAUGUCCCAGCCUUCUGUGCCAUAACUCUGCAUCAUCAUCAACUGCUUUCAAGCAGCUCAUAUCACCACUUUGUAGGGACUCGAAAUCAGCAACGCAGAUGUUCUUGUAUCUUUUGGCCACUAGUACCACUUCACCAAUUACCAUAUUGGUAACUAUGCACACCUUUGACAGGAACUCCACCUUGUUUCCUUUAUCACAGAUUUGAGAAACACUCAAGAGACUAUACUUCAGGCCAUUUACAUAGUACACAUUCUUAAUUGAGUGUGAGAGAGACUUUCCAACUUUUCCAACACCAAGAAUGUACCCCUUUUUCCCAUUUCCAAAGGAUACAUUCCCUCCUUGCAGGGAUUUUAGUGAAAGGAAGUCCAUGGUAUUCCCAGUCAUAUGCUUGGAGCAUCCAUUGUCCAUAAUCCAUUGUUGACUGCUUCCUUUCACUGUUCCCUGCACAGAUAAAUCAAGGGUUAGAUUUGGAAACCCAAACAAGUUUGGGUCCCUUGUAAUGAGAAAAGGGAUGAAUGAGAGCUCUUCUAGUCCAUGCAGGCAACAUGCGUUUUUUGUGAGCGACACCUGGUCCUCUUCCAGUGGUUACAUUUUCAGCAAAAACUUUGUUUUUCUGAACAGACUCGACUCUGGCUUGACAAUUUUUCUUGAAAUGCCCAUUGUUCCCACAGUGGGUACAAAGCCAGUUAUGAGGUACAAUGACGUACUUGCUAUGAGGGUUAUAAGGAACUUUCUCCCUUUGGAACUGUAUUCCCUGCCUGUUUCCACCAUUAUUAAAGUACAUGGCAGUAAUAGCAUCUGAGGACCAGGUCCACUUAAGAGAUUUUUCAAGAUCAUUUUUUUCUUUCUCCAAUUCUGUAUGAAGCUGCCUAUUUUUCUCAAGAUCAGCACACAGACUAGUUUUUACAUUAUUCAGCUCAUUUUCAAAUUUAAUAUGUGUCUCACUAGCUACUUCCUUCCCUUUUUCAGAAUUUCUAGGCCUACAUUCUGCUUUAAGUCCCUCAGUUAUUUCCUCUAGGUCUAUGAUUGCCACUAAGAGAUCAUCUCUUUCUUGCUCAGUAAUGGCAACUUUCUCCACUAACGCAUUCUUUUCCUUACUCAAGCUCUCUGUAGUUUCUUUCAAGUCAACUACAAUUACCAUUAAAUCAUCUCUUUCAUGUUCUACACUAGCAAUUUUCUCUGUUAGAACCUCUUUCUCAUUUUUUUAGAUUUUCUAUAGUUUCCUUCAGGUCAACUACACAAACCACCAAGUCAUCUCUAGUCUGCUCAGCAUCUCCUAACUCUAUGGUCAAGUUAUCUUUAUCACUCACAAGACUAUGAUAUGCAUCAAUCAAGACAUUAGCUAAUGACAUGAGUUUCUUGGGAGAGUAGGAUUUUCUAUUCCUCUGAACAUCCCUAAAGUUUACCUCAUCAUUGUCAUCAUCUUCAUCAUCGUGUGACUGAGCCAUCAAAGCAAAUAUUGAGUCAUAUUCAUUUGCUUCAUUUUCAAUUGCCAUCAUGGAACUAUCACCUGCAUCAUUUUCUUUUUCUGAUUCACUGGAGGAGUCUCCCCAUGCUGCAAGAGCUUGCUUCACAACAUUGUCAUCUACGUUUUUCCUUUUGAAGCGUUUGUCAGGAACCGAGUUCCUCUUAGCUGCUUUAUCAGAGUUGUGCUUGAAAUGCUCUUGCUUCAGAAUAGGACAGUCCUUGAUCAAAUGCCCUAGCUUUCCACACUUAUGGCAGAGGUCAUAAUUCUUUGGUUUGCUGGAACUGCCUCUCUUUGGUAUACCUCCAUUUCUUCGAACCAUUUUCUAAAACCUUCUGGUAAGGUAUGCCAUGUCACUAUCCUUCUCACUCGAAUCAUUGUUUUCAGCUUUGAGUGCCAGUGUCUUCUCUUUCUUUGGUUCUCUUCUUUCACUGUCUUUCUUUUUCUUCAUCUCGUAGGUUUUCAGAUUCCCAACUAGCUUGUCCAUAGUCAAUGUCUGCAGAUCCUUGGCUUUAGUGAUAGCAUUCACCUUACUUUCCCGGGAGCUGGGUAAAACGCUAAGAACUUUCCUCACGAGCUUGUUCCUAGGAAUGAUUUCUCCAAGAGAGUGUAGCUCAUUUAUAAUGGAAGUGAAUCGAGUAUGCAUGUCUUGAAUGGAUUCAUCAUCCUCAUACUUAGUGGUGAGCAUAUCGAUCUUGGACUGCUUUAAUUGAGUAGUUCCUUCAUGUGCCGUUUGUAAAGCUUCCCAUAUCUCCUUGGCAGAUUGACAGGCUGAAAUCCUAUUAUAUUCAUCAGGUCCUAUACCACACACCAAAAUAUUUUUGGCGCGAAAGUUCUUCUCUACAGCUUUUCUGUCAACGUCAUUGUACUCCUUCCUAUUUUUCGGCACCGUUACAACAUGUUCUUCUUCCUUCUUUGUUGGGACAUAUGGACUAUCACAAAUAACAUCCCAUAACUCGGAGUCUUCUACCAUUAUGAAGUCAUGCAUUCGAGUCUUCCACCAUCCAUAGUAUUGGCCGUUGAAUCUUGGGGGCCUAUAAGUUGAUUGUCCUUCCUCGAAGUUUGGUGGAGCAGCCAUGGUGAGGAUCCUCUCUAGGUGUUAACCUUUUAGAAAGAACCUGCUUUGAUACCAAUUGAUAGAAUGUAUGAGUCCACCAAACUGUAUAGAGACCUGGUCCUAUACCAGUUCCCAUAUAAAUAGCUAAUGAACCAGUAAGUAAAUGACACAUUAGAUUUUACUUGGAAAAAUCCUUGCUCAAUGUGAUAAAAAACCACGACCUACACUUGUAGGAUUUUAACUUCACUACUUGAGCAAUCUUUAGAUUACAACCUAUUGUAACUUAGGAAUUAAACUCUUAAUCCCUCACUAACUUGUAAUACACAUAUUACAAGCCACUUUGCAAUACACCUAUUAUAAAGACUUCAACUCAUGACUAACUCUAGUCACGACACAAACUCUAAGGGUUUAUAGUUUUUGGAGGUUCCUAAUUAAGACUUCUAAAUAAGCAAAAUAGGAAUUACAAUGAAGAACUAAUACAAAGAUACAACUCAACUAAGGACAUACAAAAGACUUGUUGUAGGAACUGGUCCGUAGUAGUGUUGUACUUUGUUCUUGAUGCACUUGUGACUUCAAUGCUUGAUUAUCAGAUAUUGAGUGCUUGAAUUAUUUCACAAGUGUUCAAGUGAUGUUUUUUGUUGUAAUGCUUCUUGUUAAUAUCUUUUGAAUGACAUCACUUAGAUGAUGCAAACACUUGGUUGGUAAAAAGCCCUUCCCAAUGGGAAAUGACUGCUGCACUGUUUCUGUAUUGUAGCAUGUACAGUGCAGGCAAUCACUUUCCAUCUGUAGAGUUGACUUCGUACUGCUGUCAGGAAAACUCAAAGGGAUCAGGUCCCUGAGUUGAUUCUUUUCUGUCUGAAGUCAUACAUCACACAUUAGCUUGAGUCCGUUGAUAGAGAUAUAUACCAAGUGUACAUCAGGUCCUUUAUCUGGUUUUUAACAAUAAGUUUGUUAGAUCAUCAAAACAAAAUUCUAAGAUACUUUAAACCCAUCAAUUAAUUUCCAAUAAAAUAUAGAAAAAUUAUAAUUAUCCAAUACACUACUAACUAUUGUAAUUAUUUGUUUAUAAAAUACUUUGUUUUUUAAAUUACAACACUAAUUUUGAAUUAUCAACAUAGUAAUCUAAUUAAUAAAAAUUUGAGAAGUAAUUCGUAAAUUAAUUAUAAAACUUCUCUGAUGUAUUAAAAUAUAUUUUAAUAGUAGUAAAUUUAUAAUUAUAUAAUACUAAUGAUAGGUUAUUAAUUUCAAAGCUAACACUUAAUUAAUUUGUAAAAAUAUGUAAUUAUUGAUAGAAAAAUACUUUCAAACAUUUAUUGUAAAUUAUUAAGUAUAAAUAAAUUAAUUUUAAAAGGGAGGGUCAAAAUUGACCGUCAACAUACAAGACUUAAUCAUUUCGCUUCAACUCACGCACGAGGUAAGUUCUAGACUAACAUGGAAUGACAUAGAGUACAACCAAUUCUGAAUAUAUCCGCCUUCCUGGCUUGGACUUUUCUUGCCCCGGCAUGAGCUUUGAUAAAAGAAUCUGCAAGCAUUUCAAAAGAAUCAAUUGAAUAUUCAGGUAAAAGAGAAUACCACAUUAAGGCUCCUUUGGUUAGGGUUUCACCAGGUUUCUUUAGCAAAACAGAUUCGAUCUCAUGCGAAGCCAAAUGUAAGUCGUGAUGUGCUCUUGUGGAUCCAAAGUUCCAUCAUAUUUUGGAAUAUUCGGCAUCUUAAACCUCUUUGGGAUCAACUCCGGGGCCGCACUUCAUUUGAAUGGCAGCUGAGUAUACUUAUUUAAAUCUGGGCCCUUCAACACCGGAGGUGCCCCCGGAAUCUGAUCCAUCCAAGCGUAGAAUUCUUUAGUGUUUUGAUCCAUCCGAUCAUUCAUUUCCCUCAUUAACAUCAUGAGCUCGAUUUUAAAAGGAUCACAUGUGUUGUUAUAAUUCCCAUAUCCACUACCUGCACCACAUGCUUGGUUAUCAUUAAAUCCAAGCUCCUCCCUCGAAGCGAUAUUUUCGGUUCUUUACGCUGUCGAAUUUGCAAGUAUGCUGGGAGGGGCUCGAACUCCCCCAUUGGAAUUAUUCAAUGCAACUGAUAGUGCUUGUUGGAGCUCAGUCAUUAUUCAAUCCUGUCUUGAGAGAUGAUUCAUGAUUUUACUUUGCUAUGCUCUCAAGAGUUUCACCAUCUCGACAACGGGUUCAUCAUCUAUAUCAUCAGGGGUAGGAUUCUUCGCACACCGAGUAUUUCGUUCUUUCCGAACCAGAGUUGUCUCAUUUCCAUUGAUGCAGGUCUCUCUGGUCGAAUUAUUAUGCUGAUCUCCACCACGAAAAUUAUCCUCACGCUCGUUGUUUGUCCCAACAUUUGAGUGAGUUGUUGACAUCAUUAGGUGCCAUAUCUAUUUUUUCUUUACUAAAGAAAAGCGUCAAAAAAUAUUAGGAAAAUAAAAUGAAUCAAAGUAAUACCACAAUUGUCUAUGCCCCACGGUGGGCGUUAAACUGUUUACCCGUAAAUGGUACAGUUAAAUUUGUAAUGUAGUUUAUAGACACGUGCAUUAAAUUAAUCCGAAAAGUAAUAAAGAUCAAAAGUAAAUUAAUUAAGAAUACUUGAAGAAGAUACAAGCCUGGCUUUGAAUUGAGCUUCUCCGGAAGCAAGAACAAGGACAAAGUAUUUAGCAAAAUGAUGUUAAAUAGAAUAAGAAAGUAGAAUCAACCUUUAUUCGUACAAAUUUUUUGUGCCCUUACAAUGAGUACAAAUUCCUCUAUUUAUAGCUAAAUUAAGGGAUACAAGAUUCCCAAAUAAAGAUCCUCUUUAAUGUGAAUAAAGAUCCCUCUUGAUAGUUGCAUAAUGGUUGAGUGUAAAUACUAAGAUUCUUUGUAACGGCUACUCUUUUAAUAUUGUCUUCUUUAGCCGGUAUUUUACUUUUAAAUUCAUCUUUCUGGUCUUGAUGUUACCGGGACUCAUACAACACUGGCCACAUACUUGGGUCCGCGUCAGUUAUUUGUUGACUCAUCUCCUACAUGUCUUUACUUCCACGUGUUCACUUGACGAACACCCACAUGCCAUUUGCUAAUUUUGCCCUAUACAAAUAUUAACCUAGAUACUUCCUAUCGAUUAGAAAAGUGAUGAAGACUGAGUGACUCAAUACAUCUUUGGGAGUUAGUUUCGUUCAUAUAACAUUAUUUGGUUUGUUGAAAAGUAAAGAAGAUGAGCUAAAACUCAAUUAAAAGCCAUAGAAGCUUGCUUAAGCUUGAGUUUGAAAAUUCGAGUUUCCAAAAUUUAAUAUUUUUGAGUGUGUUAUUGAAAUAGAUCAAGUACUACAUAUUAAAGAGUUUGAAUCUCAAUUUUGAGAUGGCGUGGCAGAAAUUGGUGGUUUGAAUUAAAAAUUCGAAGUAGACGAUGAACAUUGAAGAAGUCGAGAUGUGUAUUCCCUAUAUAUCCUCGAUGUAUCCAUGUGUAUCCCAUGUGUAUCUCAUGUAUAUUUGUGUAUGCCUGGAUAUAUUUUCCGUAGAGAAAAUAUUUAACUCGAUUUUCAACUACGAAUUGUGACUCCAAACUAGCUCAAAUCACCUUCAAUCUCCCUAUCUCGUCUCUAUAUUUUCAAUGGAUUUCAACAAUAUCUAUUGAGAAAAAUCUUUUUUUUCUAGGUAUUUUGAAUGUUAUAUAUCAUUUGGAAAAAAUUAAUUAAAUGAUUAAAAUGUCUAAGUAAUUGUAAACUUUUUAUUAUUUUGGUACAUUCCUAUAAUUCCACCCAUGCAUUGGGCCUAAGACAUUUAUGAACACAUUAAAUGGGCCUUAUUGAAAUAAACAACCCUAAUUUUGUCACAGUCCAAAGGAUGAACUGAUAUGUUUGUGCAGUUGAAGGUGUUGGUUUUCAUUUUUGAAAAAAAAAACCAUUAUCGAGAGUAUUGAGAAGGAGAAAAUUAAAGGGGCAGUGCAUUCGAACUUAAAAUUAGUGGUUUCAAAUUUUUGUUUGAUUUUUUUUUUUUAUCACUUUUAUAUAUUUAUUAAAAUUAAUACAGGUUUAACGGCCUCGAAUUUCUUUGACUAGUAAUUGUUUAAUCCCUUUCCAAUUCUUUUUGAUUGGGGUUGGAGAGCGAGCGAUGAAGGAUUUUACCAUUGGAGAUAUUUCUUUUCACCAAUAAACGAUAAUUAUAUCACUAAUUAUAUCACUAAUAUGUUUUAAGUACAUUUUAUUUUAAUGCCCUAAAAAGGCUAAAAUACGCAAGUUUCCCCCGCCGUUUAUAUAGAGGCAGCGAAAGCAGUGAAAUUUGAAGAGCAAGAAAGAAAAGGAGACUAUAGAGAGUAUGGCUAUGGCAGUUAGACGCCUGAAAGAAGCUUAUAGGCUUCUCCCUCUCAUUUCUCCUGGUAUUUUACUUGUUCAACAUUUGGCUAAUGUUUUAUUUACUCUUAUCCUUAUUAAUAGGAAUUUCUGAUUUUUGGACCCAGGAAACAGGUGUAAACUACUCGUAAAGGAGAGCAAUUUGCUGCCGCCUCUUUUGAAUUAUUCAUGUGCAGACAUUAAUACAAAGUGUGGAUACAGAUUUCAUCAGGAUCAGAGGUAACAAUUUCUAUUUGCCAAUUUGAAAUUUCUUUUAUGAAAUAAUGUUUCCACUAGAAACCGUGUUCGUGAUUUGUAUAUUUGAAGGCAACUGCAUUUACUUUUUUUAUUUUGAAGUUUUACCUAUUAAUUUUAUAUUUUUUGUUUUUAUUGCUCCAUGUAGUGGUUUGAAUUUUUUUUCAAGCUACUAUUUUGGAGGUUGUAGUAGUCUUCACUUGUACUUGACAGUCUCUUUCAGGUAUUCAACUACUUUAUCAGAAUCAGUGCCAGAGGAGCCUGUUGUGCAACUCGAUUUCCCCUCCUUCAUUAAGUCUGCCAUUGAUAAACCUGAAGGUGAGCUACUCUCACUUGGUAAAUGCGAUUUAGUUUUUCGAGGAAAAUUUUGACUAUGAAACCGCAUAUUGAGGUCACAUGUGGAAUAUGUUUAGCUACUUUUGUCAUGCAAAAAGUCAUAAGUUCUGGGAAAAUUUCAUUGAUUUGGUGGUAUUGGUAUCUAAACAUUUGAUGGAUAUUGAUAAGCCAAGUUGAAGAAACUUAUUUAUGAAGAAAGAAGAAAAUAACCUGAGCUGUAGGAAAUUUUUAAGUAGCUUCCCUUUCCUGUAUGUCGAUGAUGUGCUCAAGACUUGUACAAGUGGACUAUGAAUGACUUUUGUACCUGACCAACUUGUCAGCGGUUGAGUUAAUCAUUUCCCUUCUGUGGAUCUUAUCAGUGAAAUGAGUCUUGAAUAAUUACAUACAAAAUCUUAGCAAAAAGUGAAAGUACUGGUCUAUAGUCAGUCUAAACAAUUUAAAGAAGUCAUCAUGAUUAUAUCAAAUGCAUGCUGAGAACAAAAUCAUGUUUUUGCUUUCUUUUUCUGCUGGCUGUAAUGAUGGUUGCUUCUUAGUAAAUCAUACAACUUCUACCUGAAAGAAUAUAUCAUGUCAAAUUGGCCUUCGUCAUUCCUCGUCUCCUCCACUUGUUAUUAAUGAAAUGCAUGUAAGCAGUGGAUUAUGACAAUGUUGUUCCUGAAAAUCUUGGUUAAGCCAUCAAUAUCAUUCUUUAUUAUGUUUUGAAUACUUCAUGUCUAUUGCUUAACUUUUGGUGUUACAAACUAUUUCAUUAUCUGGUUGUAACUGGAUAUAUGUGCACAGUUGUCUCAUGUCCGUUGCUCUGAACUUUAUUCCUGAAUGAUUUGAACAAAAUGUGCAGGCCCUUCUCAUUGUUGGUUAAAUGGAAUUCCGGAUAAGAAAAUUUUGAAAGAUGGCAUCUUCCUAGUGCUCGUAACUGGAUUCCUAGAUGGUUCUUCAAUCACUGAGGCAAACUUUGUUAGCAUGCUUGAGAAAGUAAAGUUUCUCCAGCAGAGGUAGAGUAGAUCUUUACACGAACUUCUUUUGUCUUAGUUUUCUUACAAACAUCUUUUUACAGAUCUGUGCUUUCUUCUAAUGUUGCAGAUAUCCUUUCCUUCAAAUAAUUGGUUACCAGGGUAUCGAGAAGAUCCCACUUUGCUCCAGUGAUAUAUGCUCACAUCUGCUUGGGAGAACCUUGAAGGAAAACAUUGCUUUUCCUCUUCUGCUAUCUUACAAGGAUGUUCUGGAGGUAUAUUCACAGAAUUUGCUGCUCAAUUAGUGCAGUUCACAAUAUAAUUUUCAAUCUGUUUUAUCAUACUAUAGUGUCAUACGACAGCAUAGCUGUUUCAAAGUGCUGGACCUUCUUUUGAAAUAUUGUACUUAUUCAGAAGGGGGUUGCAUAUCUGACUAUUCAAUGAGAUCUGAACAUUCUGUUAUAAGUGGUACCUGGAUCCUGAGCCUUCUUAUAUUGGUUUGCUAACUUGUGGUCUCUGUUAGUAUAAGUGUGUCCAUCGAUAUUUCCUUGCUAAUGCUCUAAAGAAAGCAAGGUAAACUCUAUUAUGUUAAGGAAUAAUUUUCGAUUUUUUGGUAGGUUAUUGAAACAUUUUUUUCAUGUCCCAUCAUGGAGUUAUGUAUGACACUGGGUUUUUAACAGGGAGAGAAAGAUUAGUAAGUCUCUUUUAAGUCCUAACAAAAAAUAUGAAAAUCGAUAUACAUUGUAAACUAAAGAACAAUGCUUCAAAAGUUUGUUUAACAUUCUUAGAAAGUCAAAUUGUGGACCAAAUGGAUGUACAGAACUUAGCAUAACCUCAUCAUUAAACUUUGAUGUUAUUAACCGUAUUGGUUAAGUAGUUCGAAUUUUGUGUUAGGCCUCUGCUAAUCUCCUUUAAUGUGCAAAGGACCACUUAUCUGGUAGUUAGGCUUGGAAAUGUGUCGGCAUUAGAGCUAAUUGGCAUUAUGCUAGAAGAUGCAACUGGUAUUGUGGGGUAAGUACAUGUCAUCUAUCUUUUUGUUCACGCUUUUAGAUAUGGUUCAGGACUGGAAAUAUUGUGCUUAAUCGUUAAGUUGGCGGCUCCCUCAUUAAAAACUUGUUGGUUGGUGUUGGGUUAAGAUCUGGCUUCUGAUUCUUGUAAUUUGUCCAUGAUUUUUGGGUCUUGAGUAUUACUUUGUUGCUUGUUGCCUUCCAUACAGUUAAAUUUUGCAUAUGUGUAUAAUAAACAUUUGCUUUUGGGUGAUAUUUGCUCUUGGCCCUAAUAUCCGCGUUUCUGCAACCUUUAUUUCAUUUACUCAUGUUCUGAUUGUCACUGGAUUCAUUCAUUAGUUAUGAAUUUGACAUACUAUUCCCUUUGUUAGAUAGCUAGUGAGGCCUGCUAUGUGAUGUUUAAAGGUUUGAAGAGUCCUUCAAUCUAUUAUGGGAAGGAAGCAGAAAUGGUGAUUCUAGACAAAGGUAUGCUGUGUUUCCCUCUUUUAUAUCCGGCAUGCUUUCGGAAUGAGAUCGGGUGUUUUCACGUCUUGCCAUAGUGCCCGAUUUGUCUUGAUUUCCGAUUGAUGAACAAGAAGUAAAAUGGAACAAUUCUAUUAAUGGCAUCGAGAAGAUGAAAAAAGUACAAAAGUGAUUCUGAUAGCUCUAUUACAUGAGAAUUAGGCUAAGACUAGGGAGCUUAAAAAUCCAAAAAAUGGUCAAUGUUAUCUACAGGGGACAGCUUGCACCAGCCAGUUAAACAGAUUCAUAAGGCACCUAGCUUUCAAAAGCGAUUUGGAAUUGAGAUACCAUCAAAACAUCUAUGAUUUCUUUCCGUCCAUAUAGACCAAAAAUACUUGCUGGAACCAUUCACCAUAUGUUCUUGAUGGUUUUAUCAAGUUUCCAGCUUUCUUAAGCUUCCUUUACUUUAUGUGGCAUGACCCAGUUAAGUCCAAAAAUCUAGUAAAACAUGCUCCUAAGAUCUGCUGCUACUCUAGAUUGGAGAAGAAGGUGACUGAUGCUUUCUAAGUUGAGAAGACACAUGUAACAUCUAUUUACAAGCUGAAUGUUCCUUCUACAGAGGUUAUCCUGGGUCAAACAUGCCUCGUUUAGGCCUCAUUUGUUUGCACUUAAUGGAGGUCUGAAUCUUAAUCAUUCAGAUCUUAGACGUUAAGUGCGUUUGUUUUUAAAGUCUGAAUCUUAAUUAUUCAGAUCUUAAUCAUUAAGUGUGUUUGUUUUUUUUACUUCACAACCACUUAAUAGGUCUGAAUAGGUCUGUAUGAUUAAGAUCUAUAAUAGAGACUUAAUUUCAUUAAGAUGCUAUCAUUCAUAUUCAUGAUUAACUGCCACCAUGCCUCCACCACCACACCACCAUCAUCAUCAAUCAUAGCCGCUACCGUUAUCGAUUAUCACCACCCACCAUCUCCACUACUGCCGCCACCAUCAUUCUCAACCACAAUCAACACUCAUUUACCUCAACUACCACAACUAACUACCCCAUCACCAUCAACAACCACAGCUGGCACUGCCCAUCAUUAUAACCUAGCACCACCCACCACCACCUUCCUCAAUCACAACUACCACCACCACCCGCCAUUAUUAACUAUCACCACCCACUACCACCAUCCUCAAUCAUAAUCGUCACCAUUAUCAAUCACCACUAGCUACUACCCUGAACCACCACCAUCAACCAAAACUACCACCAACCACCGUCUCUAGUCAACAUUCACCCGUUAGCCAUUACCACCAACAGCUAUCAUAUUUUAAAAAACUCUAUAUUUUAUUGAUAGAAUAUUAGAUUAAUUAGUAUUUCAUUUGAAUUUUAUGUUUAUUAAUUUUCAAAUAAAGAUAAAUCUUAUACAUUCAGAUGUUAAAAAUCAAACAGUCUUAAUCACUUAGUAUUCAGAUCUUAAUACACAUCUUAAUAUUCAGUUGUGUAUUCAGAUUCAGAUGCCUUAAUCUUAAUACACAUCUUGAUAUUCAGAUGUGUAUUCAGAUUCAAACGUCUUAGUCUUAAAAAAAAACAAAUGAGGCCUUAGUGCUGUCCAACUAAAGCAAAUUAUUUUUUUGGGUAGCUUUUUUCUCCAAAUUAGCUUCCAGGGCCAGUUAUCUAUCAUUGCAUUGUUGGCACAUGCAUGGUUUUAUCCUGCUUUAAACAAGCCAUCUCUUGAAUUCCCUCAUCUCAAUCUGUCAACUUCCUGCGUAUUCAUUGUGCAUCUCUAGCUUUGAAAGUAGUUGCAGUAGAUAAUUGAGUUUACAGUCGUGGACAUUCCUCCUCAAUUCCUAGGAGUUAACUACUCUAUUCUGUGAAUUUGUUGAAUCCGGUUCAACUUUAAUCAAAAAAAGAUUAGGGAAUUCCUCUUUUAGAAUGAUGCUGUCCAACCAUUUGUUCUUCCAUAUAUUGAUAUGAACUCCAUUCCGCACUUUGAAUGACGAGUUCUUCCAUAAGGUGCAUAUGCUUUUCCACAAGCCUACUCCAAGUGGCUGUCUUAGGAGUUUUGAGCACCAGUGGUUCUCCACCCACUAUUUUGUCUUAACUAUGGCUCAACACUCCCCCUCAUGUAUUAGCCUAUUUUUUUUUUCAUGGGUUAGACACUUGUAGUAUAUAUAUGCGUGGUAGUGAGAUUUGAACCCGGGACAUAUUGCCUACUCCGAUACCAUGUAAAGAAGAUGGACUUUAGGCCUAACUCAAUCCCAGAAACUAGCUCAUGAUAUGAGAAUUGCCUAAAACCAUAUCAACAGACAACAACCCAUUCUCUCAGCCAAUGUGGGACCUUCUAAGAAUUUUCCUCCCAGGCAUGGACAUAUGGAGCGUGGACAAUAUAACGUAGGGGGUUCCAACGUUGGAUAAACCGAUAAUAGAGUUGAGUUUGGCUCGAAAUAGCUAAUGUAUCCGGAAAACCAAGGAACAUAUGCUCCGAUCCUUGUCGGAACCUCCUCCGGUGGUCAGAAUCCGCAAAACUCCAAAUGGGUCAAGUUGGAAUGAGAAAUUGAUCCUCAAGAGCAAAGCCUCAUCCUCGAAAAAUGAGAUCUUGCUGGCGCGUGAGAUCUGUAUUAUCGGCGUUACUCAUUGGAUUUUGCUCAGCGGAAGAUACUGGGUUUUUGUGGUGAUGUCGGAUAUUGCACAACACUCAUGAAAAGAAGUUAAGAUCUGACAACUUUCAGUCAUUGGAAAAUGCACGACAACUAUAUUUUCUUUCUGAAUGUUGCUGGUUACUGCACAACGAAUAAAGGCUUUGAUACUUCAAUGAACUGUGUGACUUUCUCAUCUGAACGUUUAAGUUGUCCGAAAGAACACAGUUUAUUUACUUAAUCAUAUAUGUCUCAACAUAAUAUAUAAGUAAAUGCAAUACAAAGAAAUUAGCCUCAAUUGUUGGGUAAUGCAUACCCUAUAGCAUUAGGUAUGGCUCGUCAAAUUGCUAGAUUUAAAACUAGAAAUUCAACAGCUUGCUAAGAUUGAAGAGGUCUCAUGGAGGCAAAAACCUUGAUGUUUAUGGCUUAAAGAAGGAGACAUAUACACUAAGUAUUUUCAGAAAAUGGCAAACUCUUGUGAAGGAACACUUACAUUGACAAGCUCAAAAUUGGCAAUGAAAUCAUUGAAGAGAGGGGGUAGAUUAAGGAGGAAAUUUUAGACUUCUAUCAAAAGCUCUAUACUGGAAAUGAGCCUUGGAGACCAGCCGUAGACUUUGAAGAUCUGACAAGUAUCACUGAAGAAGAAAAGAUAGAACUGGAAAAAGCUUUUGAAGAAGAGGAGAUUCUAGCAAUUAUUCAAUCAUGUGCACUUGACAAGGCACUGGGUCCAGAUGGCUAUAUAAUGGCCUUCUUCCAAAAGGCAUGGGGAAUCAUCAAAGCACAUGUAAUUCAGGCACUCAACCAUUUUCCUGAACACUGUCAUAUGGUUAAGUCUUGCAAUGCCUCAUUCAUUGCUUUAAUUCCUAAAAGGAAAGGAGCAAUUGAGCUCAUGGAUUAUAGACCAAUAAGCCUAAUUGACAGUGUCUCUAAAAUAAAUGCGAAGUUACUGGCUGAAAGAUUGAAAAAAAUGAUUGGGAAACUUAUUUCUAGACAUCAAAAUGCCUUCAUCAAAGCCAUGCAAAUCACAGAUGCAACCUUAAUCGCCAACGAAGUUCUUGACUAGAAACUGAAGAGAGGUAAAUCAGGCAUCCUUUGUAAGCUGGACAUAGAGAAGGCCUUUGAUUAACUCGACCGGCAAUUCCUCGUCACAAUGCUAAGGAAGAUGAGAUUUGGUGAUAGAUGGAUCAAAUUGAUUAAAUUCUGCAUUAGUACUGUGAAAUACUCAGUCUUGGUCAACUCCAUCCCAGUUGGUUCUUUUUCUUCCCACAGAAAGGUAUCGGGUAGGGAGACCCUCUCUCCCCCUUUCUUUUUAUUUUGGCUAUGGAAGGGUUAAGCAGAAUGCUUGAAAAAGCAAGAGACCCUGCAAUGGAUAAAAGGUUUUGAAGUAGGCACUAGUUAAGGGAAUGUAAUUACAAUCUCACAUACCCUCAUUUUUUGUGGAGCAGAGGAGUCCCAAGGUGCUACACUUAAAUCUUACGGUACUUAUUUUUGAGGCGCUGUUAGGGCUACACAUUAAUAUGAUGAAAAGCUACAUUUAUCCAGUUACUGAUGUUUAGAUUUGGAGACUCCGGCAAAUGCCUUUUGUUGCAACAUUGGUACUUUUCCAACAACAUACCUUGUUCUAUCACUUGGUGCUAAAUUCAGGUCAACUGAAAUUUGGAAUGGUAUAGUGGAAAAUUUUGAAAAAAAGUUGGCUACUUGGCAUAUGCAAUACUUCUCAAUGGGUGGCAGACUUGCGCUUAUCAAUAGUGUUCUGGACAACAUUCCCACAUAUUUUAUGUCAUCAUUCUCCAUCCCAGACAAGGUGAAAAAACAAUUGGACAAGAUUAGAUGGAAUUUCCUUUGGAAGGUAGCAGCGAAACAUACAAGUUUCAUUUGAUCAAAUGGCCAAAAGUCACACAACCUAAGUGGCCAUUUGGACAUAAGAAUUGUAAAAUUCCAGAAAAAAGCAAAAUUGUUUUUCAAGUGAAAUGGUAUUUGAAAAUUAGAGUUGUGUUUGGCUGUUUUUGAAUUUAUGUAAGUGAUCUGUAGUGAAAAUUUUGAAAAAUGGCUUUUUGUAGUUUUUCAAAUUUUCGGAAAAUACUAAAAUUCAUCUUCAAACGAAAAUUGUAAAUUUUAUGGCCAAACACUGAUUUCGAAAAAAAGUGAAUUUUUCGGAAAAAAGUGAAAUCUUUUUUAUGGCCAAACGAGCCCUAAAUCCCUUGGUGGUAUGGGCAUAAAAUCUAGCCAUCCACAGCAAAUACAUGCUUAUAAAAUGGCUUUGGAUAUGUGGUCAGGAAUCACCUACUCUUUGGAAGGAUGUGGUGGCUGCAAAGCAUGGUGUACAGUGCCAUUGGUGCAUCAAAACCUUUAGAGCUUUACAUGGUGUAGGCUUGUGGAAGAACAUAACCAAACUGUGGGAUGUAUUUUACCAGAGCUGCAGGUUCCAGGUUGGUAAUGGCACAAGCAUAAAGUUUUGGAAAGACAAGUAGCUGGGGAAUUCAGCUUUGCAAACUGAUUAUCCUAAUUUUUUCCUAAUCUCCAGUAAUCCAGACUCCACCAUCUCACAAAAUAGAGCAGACAAUGCAUGGAACCCACAACUCAGAAGGAACCUACAGGAUUGGGAGCUUGAAGAACCUACUCAACUUACUUGAAAGAUUGGGGAACUGCAUAACCAAUGAGCAGAUUUCAGACAAUGAGCAGAUUUCAGACAGACUAAGAUGGGUUGAUAAAGAAGAUGGUCUAUACUCUGUUACAGCAGGAUAUUCUACUCUUUCUGCCCAGAAUGAGAUGGUGGAUAAUUGGCCAUGGAAAUUAAUCUGGAAUUACCCCCUAAGGUGAUUUGUUUUAGCUGGACAGCACUCUACGUAGCAUGUUUGGCUCAAGACAAUCUCCAGAGGAGGAACAUACAUAUUGUCAAUGGAUGCUAUAUGUGCCAUCAGAACAUAGAAACCAACAGUCAUCUUUUAUUACAUUGUGCAGUUGCUACAGAUAUCUGGAACAUGUUCUUUUCAGUUUUUGGACUCAGUUGGGUCAUGCCUGAGAGGAUUAAGGAUGCCUUCAUAUGCUGGAGUUCUUGGAAAGUUGGUAGGUUCAUCAGGAAGAUCUGGAAAAUGAUUCCUGCAUGUAUUUUUUGGUAUAUCUGGACAAAAAGGAACCAAAGAUGUUUUGAUGAAAUAUCAACUCCUAAUCACACUCUCAAGGCUAAUUGUCUUUUAUUUUUAUAUAGCUGGAGUGAUCUCUUUCCGGUAAACUCCACUAAUACGUUUUUGGACUUUGUUAGCUCCUUAUCUUUAGUAUAGGGCACAUUGUAAUUGAGCUAACAAACUCACUUUUGCAUUUACUAUCUUUUGUACUAUUUGCAUCUACUUGAUGCCAUUAAUGAUAUCCCUUACUUCAUCCAAAAAAAAAAAUUGUUAUGGCUCUUCAUUGUAAUGGAGGACAAGCCAUAGGGUCUAACUGAUAUUGCUUUUUCUGCCUCAGGAGUCAGGAGAAGAAGUUAAGAAAAAUAGUUACUGGUUUCGUUAACUAAAUAGAAAUUGAACUCCUUGUAUAUUGUCUGUGUGUAUUUUGAGCAGCACUUGCAUUGUAUUGGUCUUUCUCCCAUCUAUAUCAACUGCACCCUUUGUGUAACAUCUAUAUCAACUGCACUGUAUUGGUCUUUCUCCCAUCUUUAUCAACUGCACCCUUUGUGUAACAUGUAGAAUAUUUAUCAUUCAUGUUUCCCAUAUGCUCUUCCUGAUAUCCUGAGUUUCUAUAGUAAGUUUGAUUACUUUAUCUUCGGGGAUUAAGGCUGCAGACCAGCUAAAAAGAGUAGAAUAGUUACAAUGUUACCUCGCUUUACAUGUUUUUAUAUGCUUCAUUUUUUCCAUAAAAUAGAGUUUCUGUAUGUCCAUUUUCCUAUUAUUGUCAUAGUACUGAGGUUCUUUCUUACGUUCUGCGAUGUCAGCAAUCAAGGAUUUCAGAGCGCAAGAGAGUGCGGCCCCUAAGAUCCUGACAAGCACAUGGGUAAAGCCAACUGAUGAAUUCAAGGCACCACCUCUCUGUUUCCCCUUGCGAAACCUGUUUCUUUACUUUCCAGGUAGAGGUCCCCCCCUGUUGAGCUGUCCCAUACUGUUGAUUUAGCACUUUUUUAAAAGAUAAUUAUGAACAUCAACAACAACAACAACAACAACAACAACAUACCCAGUAAAAUCCCACUAGUGGGGUCUGGGGAGGGUAGAGUGUACGCAAACCUUACAUCUACCCCGGAAGGAUAGAGAGGUUGUUUCCGGGGUACCCUCGGCUCAACAGAAGAGACAAUAAUAUCAAAAAAGAAACGAAAUAUAUAUAAAAAAAGUUAAAAUAUAUAUAAAAAAAGAAAUGAUUUGGACCUGUAAAGUUCUUCAAAGCUGAGUCCACUAGCAUUGUGAUUGUAAAUCUCAUGAAUGGCAUGCUCCAGUAUUUUCCAAGUCUUGUCUGCAUACUUGGGAUCAACCACUACUUUGUGCUUGAACGUCUGCAAGGAUUUCUGCCUCAAAUGUUCAACUUGUGUUUUCUGCCGUCAGUAAGAAAUUAUGAAGUACAUCCCCCCCUUCCUCCCUCGUCUUCUUGUUGCCGUGUAGAAAGAGGGAUAAUCAGAUAAGAACAGAACAGAACAAUUAACCACCUGAAGAAGGAAUCAGAUUCAAGGUUAAUUUGUAUGGAAUGGUGAAUUAUUGCUCUUCCAACUGAUGUGACUAUAAACCUAGUGCAACUUUGCGGUUCGAGGAGAAAGUUAGAGAGGAUAACAUUGUAUUUCAUGUUACUCAUCAAAGAGUAGUUUGUUGAACUAUCAAAUUAAAUGUUGAUAAUGUUCAGUGCAUAAAGCAGUGCCAUGAUAGAAAGUGGUAAAGAGGUACACAGUCGGUGUUCUCUUUCAACCGCUAUGAUGUAGCUUGGAGUUAUGGUGGAAGAUAUUUGAGAUUCGAAACUGAUAGCUAUCUCAAUUUACUUUCGAAAGCUUCCCUUGUCUAAUAAUUUUAGGAGAUGAUAAAAAGAGGUGUUCCCACUAUUUCAAAAUUUCAAAAUUCAAGGAUUGUGAUUUACCCGAGGCCCCUUCUUCCUAGCAUUUGUCACUUAUACUUUAGUUUCUGACUUUUCUUGCAGGUGGUAUUUCAGUUGAUGAGAGUGGCAAUCGCCUUUUCCUUUCUGACUCCAAUCACCAUAGAGUUAUUGUACUAGAUGGCAAUGGAAUGAUUUUAGACUCUGUAUGUGUCAGGCUUGCAUGGGUGACUUCAUGAUAUUUUGAUGGUUAUAUCGUACUGCUAAAGCAUAACGGGAAUUGCUAAUGCAAACAUUAUCAUUUUUGACAUAGAUUGGUUCUCCUCCUGGUCAUGAAGAUGGAGAAUUUGAAUAUGCGAAGUUAAAGCGUCCGGCAGCUUCUUUUUAUCAUGCCGCUGAGGACUGCCUAUAUCUUGUGGACUCGGAGGUAAUUGCAUUGAAGCUCUUUAUGUUUCUUAUGAUAUCCUAUCGCUCAUUGUCUAAUUUUGAUGGUUAAGAGGGAUAAAAAAAGUAAAGAAAAGGAGGUGGGGGGUGCUUGAUUUAGCAAAAAGUGAAAAAUAAAACAACUUCAUCACACAUGAUUUUAAUCUUUUGGAAUGUCCAAAUUGUUAACUCACUUGCAGAAAAAAAAAUCAGCUGUUACAAGAGCUAUUCUCAUUUAGUCAUUCAUUUCUUAAAGCAUCAUGUGCUGUGUUUCAUCUCAAACUAACCAUGAGAAUAUUCCAAUCGUCAAAAUUGUCUUUCUUCUUGCCAUAGGAGGAUUAUAUACAUGAGAGUCAUUUCUUAAUCGUUGUAUGUCCCUAAAUUGUUAUAUAACGGGGAUAGGGGGAGUAAAAACGUUCGGUAAAAGAACAUUAAACUGAAGCAAGGAGUGUCGCAGAAGCAUUAAGCAUAAUUACGAUUUUAUUUGUGUAUUAGCGAAUACAGCCUGGCUUAAGCUCGCUAUUUUUAAGCAGAGUUGAGCUCGUAUCAGCUCAAGUUUGGCUAGUUUGAGUUACCGAAUUCUUCUUUUCAAACUUUUACAUAUUUAUAUUUUAUUAUAAAUAAAAGCAAAGAUAUACAUUAAUUGAGUUAUUUGUUGGCAAUAUAUUUUUGAACAAGUCAAUAUAUCUUUUCUAGUUGCUAGUGUGGAAAGAUUUUAAUGUUCAGGUCCUAUCUAGUAUUAGUUUGGAAUAAUAUUUUGUUCUAGUUUUUCCCUACCUGUCCCUUCUUGUCUAUAUUUUUAUUGAUGUGGUGCUUAUGCUUUCCCGAGCCGAGGGUCUAUUGGAAACAUUCUCUCUAUUCUCACAAGGUAGGGGUAAGGUCUGCUUACACACUACCCUCUCCAGACCCCACAGUAUGGGAUAAUACUGGGUAUGUUGUUGUUGUUGUAGUUUUUCUCUACCUAAUUUUAGAUAUGCAUAAAUCAUAUAAAAAAUUUAAUGAAUUCUUUAAUAGAUAAUUUGAGCUACAGUAAAGUGAUUCAAGCUCAGUCUUGUUUACUUUAUCCAGAGAAGUUCAGUUUUCUAAAUUUAUUGGGUUGAGCUUUUAACAUAAACAUGAACUCCAGAACUUGGGUUAGCUGACCUUGAUUACGCGUUUACACCUCUAUUUUAAGCGAACUUUGUGAAAGAUAGUGGUAAAAGCAAGGCAAGUGUGGUUUUACAAGUUUUGACUGAUGUAGUUUGUCUCUUUCAUCGGCAAAUGAGUCUGCAGUCAGUCUUAGACUUUUGGCUGCAUUACAUGGUCACCUGAGUUUGAAAAGGAAUUGUCACUCCGCUCAAAGUGAAUCUCCUUAUAUCUCUUUUGGUUCUUUUGAAGAUAACAUCCAUCUUCCUAAAGAAAGUCUACCUUAUACUAAAUUACAAAAGAUAGCAUGGCCUCACCUUUAGUUUUGUCAAUGUAAGCUUUUUUAUUUCUCUAUUAACAACCACGAUGUAGCAGGGAGUCCUACAUGUUCCCCAUUUGAUCCUACAGAAUACACAAUUUUCAAUUUUUCUCUUAAUAGUCAAAUGAAGUAGAGUAGAAACUCAGCAUUCAAAUUAUGAUUCAGAGUGUAAUACACUAAUACCUGUGCUCCUCGCUUCACCAUGAGGUUUAUUGUUGUUGAGUUAGCCCUCAAUCUACACUUCUCACCUACAAGUAUCACACUUUCAGUUUUUUUUUUUUAAAUGUCAAUUAACCUUUUUGGGAAAUCACUGGGUUUCUUGUUGUUGUAGUUAACCUUUUUAGGUUAAUUGACAUAAAAAACUAUACCAACAGAUAUUCUGUCAAAUGGGAUAUAGAAUGAUCUUGAGAUACUAUGUUACUCAAAAGACAUUAUGGCUUCCAUGCAUCUCCUUUUUUUGAUUCUUCAGUAAUAGAAUGUUCUACUGCUUUACAGCCUUGAGCUUUUUGUCCUAGUGGUUGAAGACACCUUUACUGUUUCUUUUUUGCAUGGCAUCCCUAUUAGUUCAUUAGGGUUUCCCUGUUACUUCAUAAGGCUAACAAAUGUGCCCCUGGUGUGAAAGAAUCAUGCUAUUAGGAGAGCUGAUAUGGGGAGGAGGGUUGUGGAGACUUUGUACCCAAGAAGCAAAACAAAUAAAAAUAGUAGCAUUUGGAGCUGGAUAUUGGGGAAGCUUUGGCCUAGAAACGAUCUAAAUGCACAGUCUGAAGAAUUGCAGCCGGACACAUUGCUGUUUCCGUGGCACAUGCUGAAUUCUCCAAAUGGCGAUCUCCUCAUUUUAAACCGCAGGUAGAUGCAACAGCUGGUCCAACUAUCUUCCAAGUUAUAAGUCUGCAAAUGCUUUAUAUUAUUUCUCCCUCGCCAAGUUCUAACCUCUAAUUCAAAUGCAAGGCACAUCACACAUAUUUUGCACGAAGAUUUUGUAAAUUAACCUAGAAGACUAGCUCUGAAACUUUCUAUUUCGUUUAUUUGGUGAAGUGUAAAGGCAUAGUCUUGCUUGUUGAUGUUCUGGUUCAGCAAUAGGAAACAAGAGUGCCCUUUAUUGGUUCUAACAAUCUAUAGGAAAUGGAUCAUCAUCUUUUAGAAAGCACAUAUUGUCGAACAAUAAGGAAAAGAAAAUGAGGCAAUAAUCACAUGAUGGAUGCAGGGAACAUAACUUGUUUUUGAAAUUCCUGCUUGCUUUUUCUUCGAUUGCAAAUCGGAUCAAGACGACCGCAACAACAAUGCCUUAAAUCAAGCUAGUUGUGAUCGGCUAUACGAAUCAUCACUAUCCAUUUUGCUCAGUUUGAAUUCGUUUCAUCCCAAUAUUAAUAAUUUAAACUCUUUUGUAAUAGAAGUUCUUUACAUUUUCUAUUAACAUACUAAUGCCAAGUAGUUGGUUCGCCUAUAUGGAUCUUCCCAUUAUCCAAUACGUUCUGUUUUUUCACUAGAUUUGCAUGAAUUCUAAGAGACUGUAGGCAUUUUGGGCCUUAUGUGAUUUUGGUCUACCUCGUUCCCUUUUAACACCUUUGUUGUCAUGCUUUCAUACCUACGAACCGGUGUAUCUGGAUGUCUGCCUAGGACAUGACCAAACCAUCUCAAACGACCUUCUCUCAUUUUAUCUUUUUAUGUACUACUUGCACCUUCUGCCAUAUAUGGUCAGUUUUAAUCUUGUUUAAUCUUGUGUGUUCGUACAUCCAUCUUAAUAUUCACAUUUCUACAAUAUUCAUUUUGUUGAUAUUCAUUUGACACUUCAUUUUUGUCCUAUUGACUGGUUCUGACAUUUUGUUCAAUUUCUAUUUAUUUUGUUUUUGGAAACAUUUCAGUAUAUAUUCUAAAUUUUCAAACCAAACUCUUGUAAUUGUUUAUCUGGUCAUAGCUCUUAAACUGUGUAAUCUAUCUGUUUUUAGGUCUUAAGCUUUAUAAUUUUGUUUUCCGGUGGCAUAACUAGGUAUGUUUUAUCACAUAACCAGUUUAAGAAGUUGGAAAUGAUCGGAACAUAUGCCCAAUAUUGCUUUUCAUUUUUGUUUUAAAAGAAUAUUUGACCCGAACUGGCCAACAUUUCAUGAACUUAGAAAUUGCAUAUGAUGAACAAGUUUGUCAUCUUGUCUCUUUGAUCCCUUCAAGGAAAAUGGAAUAUUAGAAGCCCAAAAAUUGCUCUUUCCAACUUAUAUUUUGCAAAAUUUGUUUCUGGAUUUUGAAAUUAAAUAUCUUGAUAAUUUCUGCACUUGUAUAUGUAAAAUUCUAUGGUUUGAGCUUUGGGGUUGCCCUCACUUGAAAUCUUUUUGCAUGCAGCUGCGAGACAUUGUGGAUCAUGGAUUUAGCCUCUGGCGUUAUCAGAGAGGUUGUUAAAGGUAUAGAAAUUAUUUCUAAAAGUGGUCUUAAUUUUCUCUACUCUAACAAUUAGCCUUGUCAGUUGUUGACUCACCCAUACUCUAAAAGGAUUUUCAAAUAUUUUGGAGAUCUGUGAGCCAUUGAUCCUGGAGAAGUCUACGCUUUUGAAUCAAAUGCCUAGUGAUUGGUUGCAGCAGCAAGGAGAUGCAAAUUACUCAUCAAAGAGAAUUCCAUAUCUUGAGCUUAUGUCUUCUGUCACAACUUUUCAGGAUCAGAUGCUCAUCUGUGAUACAGGUAAUCAUGUCUUAAGUGAUUGCAUCCGUUGUAACUUCUGCUUUGUUUGAUUCAACUAUUGAUUUGUGCUUAUCUGAAGUUGGUCAGACUGUAUUAAAACUCAAUAGAGACUCGGGUUCUAUAUCAAGCUUCCAGAUCUCUAAUUUGGGGAUCCUUGGGUUUCCUUACUGGUCCUCAUCUCCUCUUGAACGAGUAUGUGCUGCGUAAGUGUAACAAAUUAAAGAACUUCUAGCCAUCGUUCUUUUCUGCUUUCUCUGGGUGAUUAUGUUAAUUUACUGUGUCGAUUUCUGCUUAUGUUACAGUGAUGAAGCAUUGGCAGCAAAUCCCAUUGAUCACCUAGAAUCUUUCAACUUAUUGCCAGGUAGUAAAACCUAUUGGUUACAUGUAGUCUAAAUAAUUAGUGAAAAAGCUCGUCUAGAAAAAAUACUUAUCUUUCAGCUGUUUAUCAUUACCUAUAUUUAUGUACCUUCAAUUUUGUAUCUUCUUUUUCUGGAUCAUAUUUUCUUGCAAGAAUUUGGAUGUAAUUUUUUAUAAAUUUUGAUUUGUUCCAAAGAGUAGUUUUUUUUGGUUUACUCCAGAGGAUGAGACUAGAAAUUACUGCAUAAGUAGUUAGGUAAGUAUUAAAAAUAAUACUUGAAAUGUAUGGAGUAUGUUAGAUCAAAAUUUACUUCUGAAGUGGCUUUGGAGGUACAAUCUGGAGGUUAAUGCUUUGUGGAGACAGGUCAUCUUGGUAUGGACAAAAUGGGCAAUGGUGUUCUAACACUGUUAACAGUCCCUACGGGGUUGGGUUAUGGAAGUCAAUUAGACUUCACUGGAAUACUUUGGCUUCUAAUACCACCAUAAGGGAAGGUAAUGGAAGGAAACACUUUUCUGGAGUGAUAACUGGUUAGGGCAUGGCUCUCUCAAAGAAUUAUUUCCUGAUUUUUUCAACAUUGCAACAUCACCUACAGCCACAUUAGAUACAGCUUGGGGACAGCAAGGAUGGAAUGUUACUUUUAGGAGGGGCUCUGAAUGACCGGGAACUAGAGAGGGUUGUGGAUUUCUCUAAGAUCUUGGUAGAAUUUCAAGGUCUCGGAGAAUCUGAAGAUAAACUUUGUUGGAGCCUUCACAGGGAUGGGAAUUUUACAGUUAAAUCUGCACAUACCUUAAUUUCUAUUCCAAACCAACAGUUAGAACAACGGCCCUGGAGGUAUAUUUGGAAAGUCAAGGCACCUUUCAAGGUAGUAUGCUUUCCAUGGUUAGUGGCAAGAAAGACUUGUCUAACCCAAGAGAAGUUGAGAAGAAGAGGUUUUCAGCUAUGCUCUAGGUAUUUAUUAUGUGGUACAGCUGUAGAAACUAAUAGCCAUUUGUUUCUUCGUUGUCCUUUUACUAACCAACUGUGUCAGCUCUUUCUUAAUGGGCCUUAAAUGUAGCAUGCCAGCAAACACUUGUAAUCUGUUGAAGUGUUGGAAUUAUAAUAGGGGUAUAGUGAGACAGAAGAAAUGGUGGAGAUUGGUUUCUGCUUGCAUAUGGUGGACAGUCUGGAAGUAGAGAAAUUUAAGAAUUUUUGAAGACAGAAGCAACUCUUUACAGAACAUCAAGAUGAAGUGUUUUCUUUUGCUUCAUUUCUGGUGUAAAGAAAGCUAUUUAGAGGAGGCAGAAUCUCUAGUAGACCUGAUCGGUGCACUGUGAUCUUAGGCGGACAUAGCUGGUUUUGUUUUCCUUGUAAAUAUGGCUUGGCACUGCCUUAGUGCUGUUUUUAUUUUCUUAAUAUACACGUUACCAUUUUUUAUAAAAGUAUGUUAGAUCAAAUUUGAAAUAAUAUAAAGUUACCUUUGACGACCAAUUUUAUGUGAUGGGCAGAUGGACGAAGCAGGGGUUUAAAAUGUUAAUCUGACUAGUGUGUUAUACUAUCAAAGUUUACAAUUGAACGAUUGAUGACAUUGAAUUGUUAUGAGAAUUGUAUUUAAUGAUGUUAUUAGUAUUUAUUAACACUUUGAGAUGUCCUAAAUUGAAAAAUGCAUUACAAAGAAGGAGAGUAGUUGUUGGAUUAUCACAGCUUCCUGUUGAACAAGUAGUUUUAUGGAUCAAUAGAAAACAAGAGAAAGUAGGCCAAGUAUUUCUAGAUCGAGGAGUUCUGUAUGAUAACAUCGCUUCUUCAUUUCUGUAACAGGUAGAGUUGACAUACAACUGAAUGUAGAUAUUCCAGAAUAUGUUGAUCUAAUUGAACCACUGAGUGAAAAUUGUGUAUGGAGGCAAGUUAGAGGGGCAGCAACUGAAAUAUGCGAGGCAGACAGCACAAUUAUGUCUUCAGAAAAGGUUUCUAAUGCUUGGACCUUUUAGUCUCCAUGUAUUUGUAUCGCCCAUAAAUUCCACUUCCCUCAUUCCAAGCUGAUUUUUCCACUUUUCAUUUUUGUGUAGUUCCAAAAUAAUUUUCUCAAAAAGAAUGUUGGUAUAUACCUUGUAGCAGUAGCACAAAUAGUUGUGGGACCACUUUAAUAGGUAGAAUAUAGUCCAACAUUUUAUCUCAAAUACUAAAUAAUUCACUUUUUCAACUCCUCUGAUAGCAGUACAAAGUCGAAGCAAGAGAUCUAAUUUGGGAUGAAUGCAGUAUUAGGUAGCAAGCACUUCAAAUAGUGCCUUAUUUCAAGUAGCUUAAAGAGUUAAGUUGAUGUGGAUAUGCAGGUUGGUGUUGCUCAGCAAUGGUAUGAUGAAAUUGACCACCUUGCCUUUUCAACACCGGAAAUAGAAUCAACCAUAGAAGAGGUAAGUGUGAGUCAUGGUGAAGAAAUUCCAGAAGGGAAAAUCGAGAUCAGUUGCUCCAUCAACACAAGUCCUGGAACAAGCGAGGUAUAUUAUUCUUCCCACACAAUUUUGCUUUUGAUUCUGAAUUACAAAGAUUCUCCAGGAUUUAUGUGAAAUUUCUAGCUCAAGUUGUUUAAAAUGAUAAACAUUUCAGUUAAUUGGUAUUACCUGGAUUUCAUUCUGAAUUUCGGCAUAGAAAAAUGAUGCUUUACUCAUUAUGUGAUUGUUUUCAUUUCUCUGGUUUCACCACCAGGUUAUCGUUUGUGCUGCAGCAUAUUUGAGACUGAAAAAGGAUACAGAUGUCUGUAGUGAAAGUAGACAGAGGAAAGCAGCCCGGAUAGCAGAUCUGUUGAAUCAGGGGAGGACAAGGGUAAGCAGAGAUGUUAUAGUCCAGUUCUUGCUGACAUCAAAAAGAGAUCUAGAAGAAGUCAUCAUAACGAGACCUAUACAUGUGAGACUCAAGUUUGAUUGUCCAAACCACCCAAAAGCAGACAAUUCCAAAGAUAUAAUUUUGACGGACACCUCUUUAAAUGUGAAUGUUGCUCUGAGUAACAUCUAAUAAAUAGUGUAUGGAUGACCCUUAAUGAUAUAUAUGCCUCAUCAUCUUGAAGGCCAACUUGUGCACACCACGACUAUACCACCAGUACAGGUACCAGAUAACUCCAAUCUGUGCUCAUUAUUUUGUAUGAAUUUGUCAGUUAUUUGUUCUAUUUCUAGUGGCUUUUCUAUCAGUUUAUUAGUAAAUCGUGCUAUAUUCCUAGAUGAUGUACCGUUUUCUUCUGUUUGAUCGACUCCAUAAUAUCUGUAUGAAGUUGUAAAAUUAAUAGUUCUAUGGAGAAAAUCUUUCCCUCUCUAAAUGUACAGGUUUCAAAUGCAUAAUUCUGAACUAUUGGCCUGUUAGACUGCUAUAUUUUGGCGAGCGUGGAGAGGCCUGGGUUGCUCAUUUGAAAAUUUCACUUUUUUAUAUAAUUCAUUUUGAUUUUCCUGCAGGGUAAGACUUGAAAAAUCUUCAAACUAUGAAUAUUGAGAAACAAUUACCGCCGUUUUAAAUUGUUCUUGUACUUGUUAUGAUUAGUAUUGGUCUCAUAUUUUGUUGGCUUUUAAGUUAAGUGCUUAAAAGCACUUUAUAAGUGCUGGAACUUGUUUAUAAAUAAGCAGUUACGUGUUUGGAUAAAAGUGUUGAAAUUGAAAACAAACUGAUGAAGUGUUUGGUAAACAAGUCCUGGUAAGCACUUUUUUUUGUUAAAAUGACUGAAAUAUCCUUAAAGUUGUUAACAUUAUAAAGAAGAUGAUGGCUAUAAUAUUAUAUUUUUCGUUCAUAGCUUCAAAUUCAGGGGUAACACGUAAAUUCAUUGAAUGAUUUGAUUUUAGAAUAUAGUUACACCAAUUAAAAAAAAAGGGAAGGAUUCAACGACAAAAAAAAUUAAAUGUUAUGGAACCAAAAAAAGAAGAAGGUAAAAGAACAAUAUUUACAAAAUAUUGGAAUGUAUCAAACAUUAUUUAAAAAACUAUUGUUUGCUUCACGUUAAGAACUUCAAGAAAUUGACAAAUAUUGGAGAAUGACAGUAGUAGCAAAGGCAAGAUGAAGAAUGAAGAUUAGAAUUGACAUAAGGAAUGUGACGGGGAAGGGAGCUGUAACAACUCCAAAAUAUAGAUUAUAUUAAUGGUAGUAACUAAGGAUUACAACUCAAGGAAGUAGAACAACAUUAAUGAAAAUGCAAAUGAAGAAGCUAAGUAAGAUAGGAGAUAACAAGUGAAGGGGAUGAGAAGCUAGACUAAGAAUUGAUGAAGAGCGGACUAAUACCCUUUACUUAACAAUAAUCAGCUAGCUAUUUGGUCUAAGGUACUGCUAUUUAUUAAUUCCCCAUACCUCAUAUGUUCCUAAUCUGGGUCCCAUAAAUAAGUUUCUAAGUUUCCAUCCAUGCCCUCCCAAAUGUUAACUACGUUCAUAACAAUACCCCCGGCCUCAAUAAGAACCUUGUUCUCAAGGUUCAAGAUAGGAAAUUCUAAUGAGAGAACAUGAGCAUUUGUGUUGGCUUGCACCAUGGAAAAGGAUUCCCAUAUGUAAUCUUUGGUGACCAUCAGUGUAGUGUCAGAUAUUAGGUCAAAUGCAGUGGCACUAUCAUGAUCCACAACUAUCCAACCAUGAGAAAUUGGAACAUCCAAUAGAGACAACAUGAUCCAUCAUCCAUCAUCACUUAAGCACUUCACUUUAGUUGUACGUGAAAGCAUAGGGAACUCAUCACAAUGCCAUAUUGAAGCUUGACCAUCAUCAAAAUAUCCGGACAGAAGAGCUUACUGGGCACUGUCAAUUGCAUUACAUUGCAGCUGUGUGGCUUUAUAAUCAUCACUGUCCCGAAAGAGAGAGCAUUUUGUUUCUUGGUGAACUCCACUUGGAUCAAAAGCUUGCUGCCAGGUAGUAAUGUUCAGGUCAAUGAAAUAAAAGCAAACUGCCUCUAUGCCCUCAUAGCUUUCUACUUUAGCAUAUAAAACCAAGCGAUUACUCGACCGAUGCAACUUUAAAGCUUUACCAGUAUUGAAUGCAUACCCAUGAAUGGUAGAGGUGCUUCCCCUUGCCAAAGCCAAUAAAACUAACUCCUUGUGUCUGAGAAAAACUAAUGGAUCGGCAUCCUUGUGACGAAUCGAGUUUCUGUAAUGGCGCAUGAGGCUCACACUUGAGAAAAUGCCCCUCAUGAACAUGAAUCCAAUGAUAUGAGACAGAAACAGUUGGGUGAUGCUUAAAUUUAGUUGACAAUGCAGCAAGAAAGUCACACAUUAGAGCACCAACAGUUGCCAAUCCAUUCGCGAUCCUCCCACGAUCAUGCUGGAUAAUUAUCGCGUUCAAAUUAUCUUCAGUUGUUGGAAAGAUAUGACCAAUAACAACAUUGUUCAAUUUAUCAAUCCGUGAACCUAUUGCACGCGGCUUCAAACUUGGUCGCAGGUUAACAGAGUGCACGACUUUGUUUAGGAUACCCAACAAGAAGUCGGAGAAAGGUGGUUUCAGGAGUCGUGGCGGCCAAGGUUGAAUGUUGCUAGAACCUUUCUCCAUAUUAUGUCUCUCUCUUCCGUAGCUAAACUUAUUGGGAUAAAAAAGAGGGGAUAUAUUCUUAUGUAUCAACUGGAUUUCAGCCAAAAUGAAGAUGUCACUGUAAAAAUUUGGCUGAUUAACCACAAUACACCAGUACUCCUCCUCAUGUGGAAAUUUCUUCCGAAAGCUCUUAGUCAAAAUAAAUGUAAAUCCUAAACUUGACAAUGUGUUAGUGAAUAGAUUCUGUGAUUGGACACCCGUAGGGUCAUUCAAGCUUGAGCGAAUUGCAGUGAUAGUACUAAAGAAGUCCAUGUCGAGAAUAACACAUACAGCUAGUAUGGUGCGCAAAAAUUCAAGGACUUUGUGUUGUCUCGUAUUCUUAUGGAUCUUGUCCUCAAGAUUUGAGGCAAGAACAUUAUAAGUAGUGCAUUCCCCACCAAUUGUCUCGUUAUAAUCACUAAAGUAUUCAUCUACACGAUCAUGUACAACUGUUCCGCCAUAAGCUCCAUCGAACACUUGGAUUUGCAGCAAGGAAGCAACAUGUGGAUGCUCCUGGCUCACAAUAAAGUGGUAUACAUUGAAAAGCUCUUUUAGUUGCGUCAUAGGCAAAUCAAACUCCAAGCUACCAUCAGGUUCAAAAUGAAAUAGUGUAUAGUAGAGAACAAGAAUUCUAUUGUUAUCCUUUGCAAGCAGUUCUUCAGCUUUUAACAGACAAGGAUGGCCACAAGAAACGGUCACAACAAUCCAUAUAACAAAAUGAAGUGAAGUCGCGUCGUUCAAGCAUGUAGAGCAAAUGCAGUCACUAUGGUUGUUUGCUACUAUGAAGACGGCUAACGUGGGAAAUCUGGGAUAAUCAACAUAAGGACCAGGAUAAAAAAUAAUAUACAGCGAAGCAGGCCUUGCUUUAUGAACUAGACCAAACAGAGCAAACAAGACUCUAGUAGCUUUAUUGAGCCGAAUAUGUGGUGAUUGCUUGGAGUAACAUUCAGCUAAUACCUGGAGCCCUCUCAGUAUUUUCUGCUCCCAAGCACACUCUCUAGAUUUAGACAACAAGAAUCCUGGAAGAUUGCGUUCUUGCCCAGUAUCAACCCAAUUGCAUCUGUGUGAGCCAAAGUCAAGGUAAAGUGACACCUGAUUUUGAUUAACCCCACUAAUAUCUUCAAGAGAAUUAAGCAAACAUGGAAGUAUGUCAAACCAUAGUGUACCAUCAAAUGAAAAUUCUAUUACAGCAAAUCUCAUACUCGCAUUCGACAGCACAAUUCCUUGGCUGGUAAAAACCAGAAGAUCUAAUGUAUCCCAUUGACGAGAUUUAUCAAACAUCUGAGCUACAGUAGUAUCUCCGAAAUUUUCUUCCUCCCUAGAAUUAGUUCCGGUCGUAUCAUCAAACACCUCACUAUGUAACUUGGUUUGGAAGCUGGCAUUUGCGCAAAAGCUAUCGUCGUACACCUUGGAUACUGUAGUAACAGAGUCGUCUCCCUCAUGGACAAUAACAUUAAGAUCGUGAAUGCUGGAGCUCACUGCGUCGUGUAAAAUUUCGUCGAACACCUGAUCAUCAAUUGUGGCAUAAGGUUCAUGUACCAAUUCCACUACCUCUACUGAUUUUGCAUUUCCAAUUUGAGGUGCUUCUAUAUCUUCAGGAUUUUCAGUCUCACUAUUACUGCCAGUAAUCAAUGUCAAGGAAUCUACAGUUUCAUACUGCACUGGCAAUUUAUCGAAUAUAUGGUCCGCCUUCGAUUUUCCAUUUUCAUAGGCCGAGUCAAAUGUGGAUGACUUCGAAAGAAGGCUUAGAGCAGGAAAUGGAGACACCAUAGCUGAUUGUGACACUAUAGGAACAAUAUUAAUGUAGUUAAAACUAACCUGUGAGGAAUCAACGAGACGCCUCACCGGAUAUGUUUCGUUUUGCUGUCGAAAAUGCUGAGCAAAUUUCUCUUUGAAAUACGCCCAAUUGAAAAAUUGCUUGUUCCGAAACAACCAAUUGAACCAAGUAAGAGCUUCACCAUCAAGGUAAAAGGAAGGAAGAGGUAACCAGUCCUUCUCGGAGAAGCCAAGGUAAGUGAAGUACCGCUCAGCUCGAAAAAUCCAGCUCUCUGGGUUGCUGAUGCCGUUAAAUCGAUCUAGUACCACCGCUGCCAUUGGAGUCCGAUGGAUGAAAGCACUAAUGUAACAACUCCAAAAUAUAGAUUAUAUUAAUGGUAGUAACUAAGGAUUACAACUCAAGGAAGUAGAACAACAUUAAUGGAAAUGCAAAUGAAGAAGCUAAGUAAGAUAGGAGAUAACAAGUGAAGGGGAUGAGAAGCUAGACUAAGAAUUGAGGAAGAGAGGACUAAUACCUUUUACUUAAUAAUAAUCGGCUAGCUAUUUGGUCUAAGGUACUGCUAUUUAUUAAUUCUCAUACCUCAUAGGUUCCUAACCUGGGUCCCACAAAUAAGUUUCUAAGUUUCCAUCCAUGCCCUCCCAAAUGUUAACUACGUUCAUAACAGGAGCAUAACUGGGGAAGAAAGAAAGGAAAGGGAAAAGGGGAAAAUAAUGAAUGAAAGUGUAAAGAAAGAAAUGAAAGGAAAAGAGAGGAAAGUUAUGGAAGAAGACGAAGAAGAAAGCAGAGGGCAACAAGAAUGGAGAAAAGAAAAGAUAGUAUGUUGUAGGGUUUUUUUUUUUUUACUGAGGGGUAAUUUCGGGAUUAAAAAAAUUAUAAGGGAUAAGAAUGUAAUAUCUUUGGUCAAAGCAAUAUGGCUUUUAAGCCAAUUUCGAAAAAGUUAGGUUUUCCAACUUAUUGGUUUUGACUUUUUAAAAGUAGAUUUUAACUUUUUUAAGUCCCUUUUUUUUGUUGCCAAACACUUUCACUGGUUAAAAACUGUUCAAACAGGCUCUUAAUGUAUGUUAAAACUGUUGAAUGAGGUAAUUAAAUCCCUCGGAACUGACAAUAUCACAGAAAAUUAUUCCUACACUAUAUACCAAUUUGGUACUAUUAGUCCCUAUUCCUUUUUAAGCUGUCACACAACAAGUGACUUUGGCACUCGGUUAGUUUAGUUAUUUUAGCAUUUUUCUUUUAAAAGUUACGUAAGCCUCCUAUUUGCACGAAUUUUUUUAACCUCCAGUGAUUACACUAUUUAUGAUAUUUACAUACCAACAAAAUGAACACGCCCUGUAUUUCCAUCCUUUACCCAAAGUUGCUAAGCAGUAUGCUUGGCCUCCAGAUACAUCUCUCCCCUUUUUCCUAGUUACCCGAAACUCAUGGACUAAAGUAUAAUCGCUCACUUUAGUUGUUUGCUAUAACUAUUCCAAUAAUAAGUACUUGACUUCGCAGUUUAGUUUGAAACCCGGGGAAGAACAUAAUACAUGUCUAAUUGAUUUAUUGGGACGGUAAUGGUGGCAUUUGAUGGAAGGAAUGGAAGAGAACCAUCUAAGUGAUUUGGGCUGCACUUCUAGUUGGAUACCAACUUCUUAGACAAGUGUUAUUUUUUUGCCCUUUUACAUCUUCAAAAAUAAUGAAUAUUUCCUUUUCAAAAAGAAUAAUCUCUUUCUAAAUUUAGAAAAAAUGUAACUUUAAACUUUUUAUUUUACCCUUAAUAAGAUGGUUUAUAGCCAAACAAAUAUCUAUGGAUUGUUUGAUCACAAGUUUCAAAAGUCUUAUCAUUUUUGUUAAACUUCGAGCUCAAUCAAAUAAGCUCAAAUAAAUUGAAACGGAGGGACUAAUGAAUAAGGCAUUAGUGUUUUUGAAAUGAGCAAAUUUAUUUCAAGGUGCAACAUUUCCUUUGGUUAUGCGGAAUAGGAGAACAUUUGCCUGCUUCCUCUUCAUGACUUGUGAGUUAUGCUUCCAUGUUGAUUGACUUCUUGAAGGUUUGACCCACGUUUUAAAAUGUAUAAUCUAUAUCUAUCUAUACCUAUACUAUAUUAAAAACACGAAGGCAUUAGCGAAAUGUCGUUUGCCUUUUUUACCCCUUUAAAAUAAAGUUUACACUGGACCAAAUAGUCAUUUGAUUAUUUUCCUAAUAUAUAGGAAUAGUCAUUUAAUUAUUUUCCUUAUAUUUAAGAAUAGUCAUUUAAUUAUUCUCCUAUUAUUUAAAACUUUAAUUUUUCUUACUCCUUCCAAUUCUAAAAUUUUAGACGCUUAUUAUGAUUUAGUUAUAAGCAAAUUGAAAUGGAAAAACUAUGCAUAACUUACGUCUCUAAUUUGUAAUUAAAAAAAUAUCCUCCUUUAUUUAGGAGUUAAUAUUUUUUUGGCAAUUAACUAUUUUCUAAAUAUUUGAUUUAGGUAAGAGCUCCUAAUAUUAGGAAAUCUAAAUUAUAAAUCUCUUGCUUAAUAUUUAAAAUGUUAAAAUUAACUAAGAUUUGAAGGACAAUUUUAUAAAGGUAUGUAAUUGUAGAUUCUGUAUUGAGUAUCGACAAAUCAUUCUCUAGUUUUGUUUUGUGACUUACCUCUCGGAAUUUGUUUUUUGGUCAGGUUCCGUCUCUCUCUAACGUCUCUAUCUAUCUAUCUAUCUAUCUAUCUAUCUAACGUCUCUCUGCCCCAACCUCCCCACCUUCGCCAGCGUACAACUCUCUCUUCGUCUCUUUCUUCUUUUGCUUUUUUCUUCUUAUUUCUCCCCCUCUUUUCUCUUCUGAUUUUUUCGAGCUGCCCCUCCCCCUCCGUCUCCUGCCUCUCUAUGUUUCCUUUUUCUUCUUCUUCUAUCUUUCUCCCCCUAUUUUCUUCUUUGUCUCUUUCUUCUCUUGCUUUCUUCUUUCUCUUUCAUCCCCUCUUUUCUCUUCUGGUUUCCGAUCUGCCCCUCAUUACCUUCUUCUUUCACCCUGUCUCCUCUUUCCCCUUUCUUUAUUGCUGCUGGUCGGAUUCCUAGACCUAGCAGCGGCAUCAAGGAUUUUGCACGGAGACGAUUUUUCAGCAACCCUCGGGCGACGCGCGCGGGAACUUCCAGAAUAUAGCUGCUAUGGACAAUACCUUUCUCGGCACUCGUUGGGACUCCAUGUUCUACCUCUCUUGCUUAGAAUUUGCUAUUUGUUAAUAUUCUGUCGGCUGCCUUUUAUCCUUGAUUAGUGUAUUUCCUUCAGCUUGCUUGCAUUUAUCUGCCAUUAGUGGUAUCACACGUGUCUUUUGCGUGCCCAAGUUACAUUACAUUUCAGCUUAUAUUUAGGCUUUGCUUGUUUUAAGCUUUACCUGCUCGUUUGCAUUUGUAGUAGUUAAGGCUUAGUUUAUAUCCCUAUGUUUUUGCUGGUGUAGCUAUUUUGAGCGAUGGUAGUGUAGGGUCGUGUCCUCGGGUGGGUCAGCGGGUAGGUCAGGGGGUAGGGUGCAAGGGUGGAAAUGGGGGUAAGGAUUACACAAGGUUGAGAGUUGGAUCCUGGAACAUUGGGACACUGACGGGUAAGUCGAUAAAGUUGGGGAAGAUUCUCGAGAAGAGGAAGAUUAAUAUAGCAUGUGUCCAGGAGGCUAGAUGGGGGGAGGGAGGGGGGAGGGUACGAAGGCUCGGAAUGUUAAUGGGUAUAAGCUUUGGUACUCGAGGGCUGUUGGAGGCAAGAACGUGAUAGGUAUUUUAGUUGAUAGGGAUCUCAGGGAGUUAGUGGUGGAUGUCAUGAGGGUGAAUGAUAGGAUGUUGAUUAUUAAGUUAGUGGUUAAUGGGUUCACUUUUAACGUGAUUAGUGCUUACACGCCUCAAGCGGGAUUGAGCGAGGAGGUAAAAAGGUGCUUCUGGGAGGAUUUGAACGAGGUGGUGGGUGGUAUCCCAGAGUCCGAGAAGAUUUUCAUAGGGGGUGACUUUAAUGGUCAUGUUGGGGAGACGACUAGGGGUUAUGACGAGGUGUAUGACGGGUUCAAUUUCGGGGUUAGGAACGAUGGCGGUACUUCAUUGUUGGAGUUUGCUAAAGUUUUUGACUUGGUGCUAACUAACACAGGUUUUAAGAAGAGGGAGGAACACUUGGUCACUUUCCAGAGUAGGGUUGCCAAGACUCAGAUUGAUUAUCUUCUCCUCAGGAGAGGUGAUAACGGCCUUUGUACGGAUCGCAAGGUUAUCCCGAGUGAGUGUCUGUCGACGCAGCAUAGGAUCUUCGUAAUGGACUUGGAGGUCAAGGGAGCAAGGAAGAAGAGAGCGGUGUACGACCAACCUAAGAUCAGGUGGGGAGCCUUGACUAAGGGAAAGGCUCGGGAGUUGGGGGAGAAACUGUUGGCUUUGGGGGCUUGGAGGAGUAGUGGGGACGCGAGUAGUAUGUGGACCACGACAGCGAAUUGCAUUAGGGAAGAUUCUAGGGAGGUGUUAGGGGGCUCGAAGGGUUACUUGGGUGGCCGCAAAGGGGACUGGUAAUGGAAUAGGGAGGUCCAAGAAAAAGUGGAAGCUAAGAAAGCGGCGUAUUUGAAGCUAGUGGGGAGCACGGACGAAGAAGAGCGGAGGUCCUAUAGGGAGUGUUACAAGAAGGCAAGGAGAGAGGUGAAGCUCGCGGUCACGGCGGCUAAGACUGUAACUUUUGAAAGAUUGUAUGAGGAUCUUGGGGGCAAAAGAGGGGAUAGGAAGCUGUACAAGUUAGCCAAGAUUAGGAAGAUGGAGGCUUGGGACCUGGAUCGAGUGAGGUGCAUCAAAGACGAACACGGUAAGGUAUUGGUGGAAGAGGCGUGUAUCAAGCGUAGAUGGCAGGAAUACUUCCAUAGACUCUUGAACGACGAAGGGGAUAGGAACAUCAUGCUGGGUAAGUUGGAGAACUCAGAGAGUCGAAGAGAUUUUGGGUUUUGUAGGCGUAUUAAGUGUGAGGAGGUUGAGGUGGUAAUACGGAAGAUGAGCAGGGGUAAGGCGACUGAGCCUGACGAGAUCCCGAUGGAAAUUUGGAAAGAAGCGGGUAGGGUAGUCUUGGAGUGGCUUACUAGUUUAACGUCAUUUUCAAGACGAAUAAGAUGCCCGAAGAUUGGAGGUGGAGUUUAAAAAUUCCGUUGUACAAAAACUAAGGUGAUAUUCAGAACUGCAACAACUAUAGGGGUAUCAAGCUGUUGAGUCACACUAUGAAGGUUUGGGAGAGGGUGUUGGAGAAGAGAGUGAGGACAGAUGUAUCUAUCUCUGAGAACCAGUUCGGAUUUAUGCCAAGACGGUCAACUACAGAAGCCAUUCACCUUGUGAGACGAUUGGUGGAGCAGUAUAGGGAGAGGAAAAAGGACCUGUACAUGGUGUUCAUUGACCUUGAGAAGGCUUGUGACAAAGUCCCAAUGGAGGUUCUAUGGAGAUAAUUGGAGUUUAGAGGAGCUCCGAUAACGUACAUUAGGGUGAUUAAGGACAUAUAUGAAGGUGCUAGACGCGGGUGAGGACUGCAGGAAGAGACUCAGAACAUUUUGCUGUGGAGAUGGGGUUGCAUCAGGCAUCAGCCCUUAGCCCGUUUUUGUUUGCUCUAGCGUUGGAUGUGCUGACACGACACAUACAAGGGAGGGGGCCAUGGUGUAUGUUAUUUGCUGACGACAUAGUACUGAUUGACGAGACACGAGGGGGUGUUAACGCUAAGUUGGAGGUUUGGAGACAGACGCUGGAGUCCAAAGGUUUCAAGUUGAAUAGAUCAAAAAUUGAAUACUUGGAAUGCAAGUUCAGUGAUGAGAGGCAUGAAAAAAAAGUGGAAGUAAAGGUUGAUACUCAAUCCAUUCCCACAAGAGAUAGUUUUAAGUAUCUUAGGUCCACAAUCCAAGGCAAUGGAGAGAUUCACGAGGAUGUUACUUAUAGUAUUGGAGCAGGUUGGAUGAGAUGGAGGCUAGCUUUAAGGGUUUUAUGCGAUAAGAAUGUGCCACCUAGACUUAAAGGCAAGUUUUACAAGGUGGUGGUUAGACCGGCUAUAUUUUAUGGAGAUGAGUGUUGGCCCGUCAAGAAGUCCCAUGUCCAGAAGAUGAGCGUAGAUGAAAUGAGGAUGUUGAGAUAGAUGUGUGGACAUACAAGGAAAGACAAGAUCAGGAAAGACAAGAUAGGGAAUUGAGGUUGCGUUGGUUUGGGCAUGUGAGAAGGAGAGAUAUAGAUACCCCGGUUAGCAGGUGUGAGAGGUUGACCAUGGCAGGCUUGAAGAAGGGCAGGGGUAGUCCAAAUAAGUAUUGGGGAGAGUUGAUUAGGCAGGACAUGUCUGUACUUCACCUAACCGAGGACAUGACUAGCGAUAAGAAGAUGUGGAGAUCGAGGAUUAAGGUGGUGGGUUGACAGGUAGUUGUGAGUUUCUCCUAGGUUUACCAGUAGUACUAGUAUUAUUCUUGUUGUUGGUUGAAAGUUACUUCCUUCUAGUUUGUUAUUAUAUCUGGUACUUAGCAACCACAUCUAUUAUUUUUGAAAAUUGCUACUAGAAAUAGUUGCUCCCUGAUUAUUACUAUUUGAUGCUACUCUUUCUUCCUUUUAUUGGAAAUUGUUACUCCCUGAUUGUUACUAUCCGAUGCUACUUUUUCUCCUCUUUUUUCUUAUCGUCUUUUGUCUCCCUCUUUCUCCCCCCUCCCCCCCUCCCUUUUCUUCCUUGACAUCUUUUCUUGAGCCGAGGGUCUAUCGAAAAUAACCUUUCUACCUCUCCAAGUAGGGGUAAGGUCUGUGUACACACUACCCUACCUAGAUCCCCCGCCCCCACCUAUGAAAUUAUACUGUGUAUGUUGUUGUUGUUGUUGUUAUGUAAUUGUAGAUUUUGUGUUUGCAAAGGUGAAGAAGUGUUUGAUUAAAGGGUAAUGGACAUACCUUUGUAUGCCGAGACAAUCAAACAUAUUUUUUUUAAUAAAAAUUCUUUCUUUGUUAUCCUUUUUAUUAUUACUAAAAUAAUUUAAUCUUGUAGAGUUAAUUAAUUUUAAUUUCAUGACAAGAUAUAAAUCUAUAAUCUAAGUAGGAAACUAUAACUAAUUCGUUGACACACCUUUGAUUUUAUUAUUGUUAGUUAAAUAUUUUAUAGCCGAUCAUAAAUUUAAAACCAAUUACUUAAAUUAAAUUAAAUUAAAUUAUCUUAGUAAAAGUAAAAAUAAAAUAAAAUGACUUUUUUGUGAAAAAUUAUGUUUGAUUCUCUAGGUAUUCAAUAGUAUGUCCAUUACCCUUUAAUUAAAUAUAUCUUCUAUAAAUUUUAUGUACCAAAAUAAAAAAACACAUUCUAAUAAAUACUACUACUAAUUAUCAUUCACUAUUAUGAUAUUCUUUAACUCAAUAUCAAAUGUUAGAAAUACUUUCAAAAUGGUAUUUAACAAUUGCACGUUAGAUAUACACAAUUUAAUAGUGUUAUUAUAAUUUUUAAAAAUUUUAUACUUUUUGAUAUGGGAUACACGUGCAAAGCGCGUAUCCUAAAACUAGCCUCAAUUGAAUAUGCCGAUUCACAACUUUUUGACACAUUAUUUCAUAGUUCUUUUGUUUAUUAAUAGUAGGAUACCAUAUUCUUCUUGUUCACUAAAUAUACCAUACCAAUUUGAACAUGUAACUACACUCUAAAUAUAAAACACCAAACUAGGAAACCAUUCAUCAAACACCAAAAACUAUAAGAUAUAGAUCAUAUAUCAUAUUCUUGUUGUUCACUAAAUAUACUAUACCAAUUUGAACACAGAACUAAACUCUAAGUAUAAAGCACCAAAAUAGGAAACCAUUCAUCAAAAUCAGUUAUCAACCACCCAAAAACUAAGAUAUAGAGCUAGGAAUUUCAUCGAAAACUAACAACCUCCUCAUCCUUAUGGAUUUGGUUUUGCCUCAUCCUUCUUCAAGUAAGCUUCCUUUGCCUUCUCCUCAUCCUCCCUUAUGGGUUUGACCCAUACGUUUUAAGAUACUAUAUAAUAUCAAUUGAACCAUAAGUGAUUCAAGAUCCAAUCAGGGCAAUUCUUUUCUUUUGAUUGGAGGGUUCAAAUUAAAAAGAACAUUUGAUAAAAGAUUUUCAAAGAUUCAAUUUUUAUCCAAAAGUUGAAUUCCCAAAUUGGAAAUUCACAGAGGCUGGAAAUCGCCUCACCAUUGAACCAUUAUUUCUACUUCACCUCAGAAUAGCCAAACCACUUCGCCUCCACCAAACAAGUGGCUUAUAUCUAUUACACUAGUUGUUGGUCUAUUCGUUGGAGGCGAAACAAAACCACUAAUCUGACUAUUUUUGGCCGGCCAAAAGUGUUUUUGGCAAAAAAAAAAAAAAAAAAAUUGGCCCCAAAAAAAAGAACGAACAACCAUGAAACACGGGAGGUGUCUAAUACCAUCUUCCGGUCAAAAGAAUUUCUUAUCCGGUCUUCUAUUUUUGCAUAUCAAAAUCAAGAGUCAACAGUAUAAUAUUUGCAAUCUCCAUUUAAUAAUAUUAGUAUUCAUAAGGGGGUAUAUUAUAUCAAUUUGAUGAUUCGUGUAUACUAGAAAAAAAAAAUAGGGCAAGGAAUACAGUUGUUUUCUAGCUAUAAACUACAUAAAAUAAUGCUAUUCUUCGAUUUUCUGAUAAGUAUAUAUUAUAUAUAUUUUUAGGUAUAUAUUAUAUUAAAUAAACAAAUACUCUAUUUAUGGAUAUGACUUUUUGUUCAAUGUUUGUACAAAUUAUUAAUAUAUAUUGCAGGAAAAGAAAAGUAAAAGAGAAGAAAGAAGAGUGUUCAAGCAUAGACAUAAAAAAGGCCAAAGAUGGCAUCCCCAAUCCAAGGAUGUCAUCCUCAAUUCUAAGGAUGUCAUCCGUGGGAAAGAGGCACGUGGAAGAAAUUAAUUCAAGAGUUAGGGACGUCAUCCUCAAUCCAAGGAUGACAUCCCUAAGAAUUUUAGGGGCAUAAUUUCUUAUUAAUAGACAUGACUUUUAUGUGGAAAAGGAGAACCCUUCUUGUGCAAAGGACUCCAACUUUAAUAUUGUCUUCGUUUUAGUUUUAAAAGUUAUUUAUUUAUCCUAGGAAUAAUAUUUUUUCUCCUUUAUCUUUUCUCCGUAAUAGAGUAAUUUUCUUUGGUUGGGAUAUUAAAUGAAGCUAUAAAAGUGUUAUAAU
RNAcentral lists this long non-coding RNA (41663 nucleotides) under Nicotiana tabacum (common tobacco). Its description in RNAcentral is "long non-coding RNA (NTAB_LNC002884)". The record is from RNAcentral. Lineage: Eukaryota; Viridiplantae; Streptophyta; Magnoliopsida; Solanales; Solanaceae.